Molecule: ribosomal RNA, 260 nt
Filed under: uncultured bacterium
Lineage: Bacteria
Description: partial 16S ribosomal RNA
Rfam family: Bacterial small subunit ribosomal RNA
Source: RNAcentral
CCGGCGCACGGGUGAGUAACACGUAUCCAACCUNCCGUCUACUCUUGGACAGCCUUCUGAAAGGAAGAUUAAUACAAGAUGGCAUCAUGAGUCCGCAUGUUCACAUGAUUAAAGGUAUUCCGGUAGACGAUGGGGAUGCGUUCCAUUAGAUAGUAGGCGGGGUAACGGCCCACCUAGUCUUCGAUGGAUAGGGGUUCUGAGAGGAAGGUCCCCCACAUUGGAACUGAGACACGGUCCAAACUCCUACGGGAGGCAGCAUG